GACUGUCUGCAGGACAAUGACUGUCUGCUCUAUGGCCAUAGACAACCCAUGUCCUCCUUCUGGGCUUGCUUCAAGAGCAUCUUCUAUAUCCAUACAGAAACCGGCAGCAGCCGGACACAUCUGCUUGGUUUCGUGCUGUUUCUCUUUUUGGAAAUCUUGACCAUGCUCAGACCAAAUAUGUACUUCACGGCCCCUCUACAGGAGAAAGUGAUUUGGAGGAUAUUCCUUUUGGGUGCAGUGCUCUAGCCUCAGCUUCUCCUGGCUCGUCCGCACUGUCUACUGUCAUUCAGAGAAAGUCUCUCGGACUUUUUCCAAACUGUACUAUUCAGGGAUUGCUCCACUGCUCAUAAGGAGCUUCGUCCCCUGGCUCUGUUACUCCUUCUACUGCUCGCCACAGCCACGGCUCAUCUACUUCUCCAUCAUCUAUGUCCUGGGCAUCUCUGCCAUCAUUGUGACAGUGGGACCGGUUUGUCACUCCUAAGCACCGGCAGACAAGGGCAGGGGUGUUGCUGGGACUUGGCUUGAGCGGUAUUGUGCCCACCAUGCACUUUCCUAUUGCUGAGGGUUUCGUCAAGGCCACCACAGUGGGCCAGAUGGGCUGGUUCUUCCUCGUGGCUGUGAUGUACAUCACCAGAGCUGGCCUUUAUGCUGCUUAAAUUCCUGAGCGCUUCUUUCCUGGAAAAUUAGACAUAUGGUUCCAGUCUCAGCAGAUUUUCCAUGUCCUCAUGGUGACGGUGGCCUUUGUCCACUUCUGUGGGGUCUCCAACCUUCAGGAAUUCCAUUACAGCCGAGAAGGUGACUGCACUGAUGACUCCCUUCU
This 820-nucleotide long non-coding RNA is filed under the name Homo sapiens (human). RNAcentral describes it as "non-protein coding lnc-SERPINA3-2:1". The record is from RNAcentral. Lineage: Eukaryota; Metazoa; Chordata; Mammalia; Primates; Hominidae.